ACUCCUACGGGAGGCAGCAGUGAGGAAUAUUGGUCAAUGGGCGCAAGCCUGAACCAGCCAUGCCGCGUGAAGGAUGAAGGUUCUAUGGAUUGUAAACUUCUUUUAUUUGGGAAUAAACCUCGAGACGUGUCUCGAGCUGAAGGUACCAAACGAAUAAGCACCGGCUAACUCCGUGCCAGCAGCCGCGGUAAUAC
This 194-nucleotide ribosomal RNA is filed under the name uncultured bacterium. RNAcentral describes it as "partial 16S ribosomal RNA". It matches the Rfam family "Bacterial small subunit ribosomal RNA", at positions 335 to 526 of the family's 1533-position model. The record is from RNAcentral.